CGCGCCAUUUACUGCGAAGAGGCUGGUUAGCGGCUUCCCUAUCAAUCAUAAUUUCUACCCCAGAUCGGCGUGCUGUCGAAUCGCGACGAGUCUGUACACCCAGCAGAAGGUAAAGGAACUUUGAUACAUACGCAUCGGGGUGAAUAUUAAGCCAUCCGACCUGGUACACGUGUGUGUAUAGGGCUCAGUUUGAGUUUGUAGAGUUUUUUUACAAUUGCCUUGAACUGGCAUAAUAUGAGGCACCUCUCUAAUCACGACCAAUAUUCAUCUCACCUCAAACGCUGCCUCUGUUAUCAGCGCUACUAGUUGUUAACUCUGUUAUGGAGUACGUUGACCAUGAAUGGUUGACCUAGCACUGUUUGGGAGUAACAUUUCUGGAAGUAGCCGAACUAUUAUCUCGUGGCAUCACGUCUGGCACAACCGGAACAGGGUGCCAAAGGUGUCGAAGCUGCUGCAGGAAGUAAGGUGCAAAAAAAGCAAAUGCAAGAAUUAUAAACAAUGGUGCUCAGAGCAACUUGCCUGAUAAGAAUUUGUUCCGUUGGUCGGAGGUGGAACGUAAAGCCGCCAAUGGUGAACUGAGCUGUGGCCCAUUUGGUUGGACACAUGUACGAAAUACAUUUAUUUAAAUGUAGUGAGCGUCCUUGGGAAACUCAUUUCGGUGUCUCUGGUGACAUAUAAUCGAGCGGCUGAUUGUCCUACUUGAUGGAUUUGUACAUGCUAAUCACCCUCAAGCAAUGCACCUCAUGUCAUCUGCAUUUCUAAACGAAUCGGUUUCUAUGGUCCUUGAAUUUAAACAUGGAAAUCGAAGCAUCCGAAAGAUCUGAAAGUAGAAUUGCUGUGUCGAGAUUUAUCGAGAGCUCUCCCGACGUCCGUGCAGUUUCAAAUGUAAUACAAUCGGAGAUCCAAUUUAAGCUUGUCUCGUAUGCGAUCACUUUUGGAGAAGAAUUAUGACACUUGCCGAAUGUGUGUUCGUUGAGCAAUCAGGUUGUUCACCAUGUUUAAAGCUCGAUUACACUCACAAUUGUAUGACAUUUGCAAUGCGUCACCGAAAACAGUGGAAAGUUAUUGGUUAGGAAUGUGUUUCUCUUUCUCUUUGCCGGUUCUUCUAGAUUCCACCGUCAACAACUCGUCCUUUUCCUGACAACUGAACUUAAGUUGUGUAACGCAAACGUUUAAUUUGAAAACGACACAAACCACCUUCUACCGUGUGCUCUUCACUUUCUCUUUAGCGUCGAGCUGUGUGGGGAUGACAGUUGCUUAUGCAUUACCGGCACGUCGUCGAAGAACUUUAAUAUACUUUUUGUGCGAUCAGUUCCGGAAGCGUGUUUGGUUCCCUCGGGUCUGUCAACCGUGCGAGGCACGUAAACUCGACGGCGACAGUGAUGAUGCGUAUUGCGCAUAUCGCACGAUGCGUUGUGCUUUUUUGGUGCGCCUAGUACCGCCACACUACGUUGAGAAGGGCCCUUGUCAUUUGCCAUUAGCGUCAAGUCGAGUUAUUUCUUCACUUUCAUCGCACUGCGCGCUUGGUUGUAGCCGACUUGCGCAUCGAUCGCGCAUAGCUUCUCACAUGCCGUGGACGCUAUCGUCCGAAAUGGAGCCGAUUGUUACAACUGGACAAUCCGACAAACCGUUACGGAACUGGAAUGGAAAAAGGGGGUGGUUGGUACUGCGGGACAAACGAUGAAGUACAUUUUCUCCAAAUGGAUAAACAGUAAGGGACGCGCGCGCUUACUCAUACGCUCACGCGGAUGUGCAGGAAUAAUGGUGGUGGUGGUAGUGAUUGCGGAAAAAUGAACGAUGUAGCCGCCGUCACCAGUAGCCAGAGUCGGUACCUUCAGGACAAUCAAACGAAUGCAAACCGAUUAUGAGCUUGCUGGCCUGCGAGAGGCUUCGAUUCGAUUCUGAGGCUCGUUUCGGAGCAACCAUCAAUUCCAAUCACGCCAAUUUGACACUCAAUAGACUCUAUUUUUGGUGCGACUUCCAAUGAUAACUUGCAAGAUGACGAAAGAUAGGAAGAAUUGAUAAAUUUUAACAGGCUGAGUAUGAAGCGUAAUUCUGUAAAUUAAAUUUACUUACACAAUUAUAUGUAUAUCUUUAGCAUACUUUGGUCUUAUCAAAUGAUUUCGUACAAGAUAUUUUUUUCCAACCCUUUUUUAUGCGAAUGAACUAUUAUGCCAAGAAAUCGUAAGAAAGGCCUAGUCCCCAGAGAAGAAGACUUUGAGUGAGAUGGAGUCAUCAGUUCGUGAAAAAAAGUCAGGCGUCAAUCGACGUUUUUGCAUUAGGGGUACCACUUCGCCUACUACCCAUGAAUGAAUGUAUCACUUCGCUUUGCAUCCUGUACGUCCGGCACAGAACAAUGAUUGUACCGCAUCGUACCGGAUUGUACUGCUUUUCCGAAUAGUGUGCCGUUUCGUCGAUCGAUUGAACUAUAGAGAAGACCUGAACGAUUUCCAUGGGUCGUAAUACUCUGGUGGUGUUGGAAGAGGAGUUGCUCGUGGCGUGUCGAAUUGAUAGUUUAUGAUUGAAACCGCACACUACGCUCACACACCCCAUCACUAUAUUCCUGGUAAAAGGGUAUACGAAGAAGCAUCACGUGUAAGCAUUCGCAGCUGUAUGACUGCUUGAUUUGACUGACUGGCAAGAAACGUCGUAUUAUCGCCGGCAUCAACUCAUACCGGAUCACAUUUGCUGGAUGGAAGUAAGAAGGCGACCGUGGAGGUCUGGUAUGGGAAUUGUUGUAGCAAUAGGCUAAGGUGAUUCACUUCGGUCGGCGGAAGCAGACGAAGAUGCUUUCAGUGCGGCCAAUCGAUUCCGGAUGAAGGGUAGAGAGAGGGCAUUCGGUUUGCCUGGAAGGUGCGGUUUGAUUGAUAAUGAUAAUGAUAAUGACGUUACCUCCAGAAACCUUGUAGAAGGAAUGAUGCAGUACUAGUUCUUUGCAUUUAGGAUGUCUUUUUCUAACAUUGUAAUAAGGAAGCAUAAAGUUUUCUAGCCUGCCGUGUAAACUGCUACGUAUUACUCCAUGAAUGAAUUGAUUCCAAAUCGGCUGUGCUAUUAGA
Long non-coding RNA from Anopheles arabiensis, 3056 nucleotides. RefSeq lists it as uncharacterized. The record is from RefSeq and is a predicted model, not a curated record. The transcript is spliced from 3 exons. Lineage: Eukaryota; Metazoa; Arthropoda; Insecta; Diptera; Culicidae.